Hemibagrus wyckioides is the source of this 322-nucleotide long non-coding RNA. RefSeq lists it as uncharacterized. The record is from RefSeq and is a predicted model, not a curated record. The transcript is spliced from 4 exons. NCBI's taxonomy places the organism in Eukaryota, Metazoa, Chordata, Actinopteri, Siluriformes, Bagridae.
CGUUGUUUAUAUUUACAUCGCUCUUUACAUUUACCUCGCUGUUUACAAUGGCUAGACAAGGAACUGAAGAAGAAGAGGCGGCUGCACAAUCCUAAAAUCGCAGAGGCAGUCCGUCCGCUACACAACUCUGAGAUUAAGCUCGUUUUAGUGGAGCACUGUCCAUAAGCCCAGAAUUGCGCGAUGAAGGCCUGAAUAAAAAUGACAUUGUUGUUGCCUGCAAGACAUACUACGAGACCGUGCGUGGAAAUUUCCAGUCCAGCCAGCCUGAGCUAGCGAAUGUGGAUGCAGCUAAUAAGACCUCAGCCCGGAGUUGCCAGAGGAG